GUGUCAGCAGCCGCGGUAAUACGUAGGUGGCAAGCGUUAUCCGGAAUUAUUGGGCGUAAAGCGCGCGCAGGCGGUUUCUUAAGUCUGAUGUGAAAGCCCACGGCUCAACCGUGGAGGGUCAUUGGAAACUGGGGAACUUGAGUGCAGAAGAGAAAAGCGGAAUUCCACGUGUAGCGGUGAAAUGCGUAGAGAUGUGGAGGAACACCAGUGGCGAAGGCGGCUUUUUGGUCUGUAACUGACGCUGAGGCGCGAAAGCGUGGGGAGCAAACAGGAUUAGAAACCCUAGUAGUCC
RNAcentral lists this ribosomal RNA (292 nucleotides) under uncultured bacterium. Its description in RNAcentral is "partial 16S ribosomal RNA". It matches the Rfam family "Bacterial small subunit ribosomal RNA", at positions 505 to 796 of the family's 1533-position model. The record is from RNAcentral.